Molecule: long non-coding RNA, 1519 nt
Filed under: Mytilus galloprovincialis (Mediterranean mussel)
Lineage: Eukaryota; Metazoa; Mollusca; Bivalvia; Mytilida; Mytilidae
Source: RNAcentral
UACAAAUUUAUCAGAUAUAAUGAUAUUUUUUUUUUCUCUGGUCAAGUGAGGCUGUUAAAAUGCAGGGGUACCUAAGUAUGCAACCUGGGCUACUUAGGUAUUUAUAUAUCAGGAAAUGAUUGAAUAAGAUGUUUGUUAUUGUUAAAAAAAAAAUUAUAAUUUUUAUGUUUCAAUUACAUUAGUGGUGGUAGAAUCUUAAAAUUACUCCUUCACAAACAAACUGAAUUAGAAAAGGAAUUUGUAAAAGGGAUAACUAGUAUUUGCUUGUUUUCCAAUCCUUAUAAAAUUGUCAUAUUUUUAUAUGUUUAUGCUUUUCACAAUAAAAUGUUGUUUACACUCACAAAGAUCUAAGCACAUAAAAAUCCUAAAGUAUUGCCAAAUUUGAUAUAGGUUAGGAUAAUCACUGUAUGUAUUGUUGAGAAAAAUAAUUUUAGAGGUUGACAUCUGACAAAACAAAAUUCUUAACUCUUUUACUUGGUUUGUACCUAAUUUAAAAUUCAAAUCAAGAUGAAGCAAAAUAUGAUCAGUUAAUUUAGAAUCCCAGUGCAGGAUUUUCUCGCUACAUUGAAGACCCAUUGGUGAACUUUGGCUGUUUUCUGCUCUUUGGUCGGGUUGUUGUCUCUUUGACACAUUCCCCAUUUCCUUUCUCUAUUUUAUUUGUAUGUUUCAAUUUUGAAAUAACUACUUUCUUUAUUUUCAUCAAACAUAUGUUUUGUAAACUAGUCAUUUUUGUGGAAUUCAUAAUUCACUUAACAUUAUAUUUCUUGCUUUGUUUGAUAUCAAGACUAAGGACCGUAUAUGGACCUAUAUGUGCUACACGUCUCAUUAAAAUUAUAUUAUACACACCACAUCUCCUGUAUUCAUCCUUUACUCAAUGUAAAUCUCUGAAAUCCAGAAUGAUAAAAUAAUGAUAUUCCAAAAUUGUACAUUCACAGAAAAAUAUCCUUACACAAUUAGAUGUGUAUAUUUUCUCAAUUGCCUUUUACUGAUACAUGUAUAAGAAAAAAAUCCUAUGAAAAGUCAGCUAGCAAAACUUUUAAGGUUCUACUGGAAAGACAAGUGAUAAUACUAAAUGUUAUGUCUUUCAUUUUGUUUUGUUUUGUUAUAAUUUACUUGUUGGUCUUUACACAUUGUGUGCAUAUUAUUAACCUAUCCUAUUUAUUUGAUGCUUUAAAAUAUGAUGUAAUAAACUGUUUUUCUACAGAAGUUUUUCUUAUUUUAACGAUGAUUUUUAAAAGAUAUCAUGAUAUUUCUAAUUGAAUCAGCACAGUUUAAGUUGCAAUUCUGUUUGUCCUCUCAGUCAAACAAUCGUAACCUGUGAUCUGUCCAUUCAUUAUGUUAUGGUGAAUAUUUGUUUUAAUUGUUUUCAUGAGUAAAUGUGAACCACCUAAUUACAAAAUACAAGUUUCUUAGAGUUUUGUAAGCAUAAGUUGUCAAAACCACAAAAAACAAGUAUCCAUCAAAAGAAAGUUUUUCCAUAAUCCAUGAAAAUUUGUACCCCCAUAAUAAAGAUUGAUAC